Molecule: non-coding RNA, 87 nt
Filed under: Azotobacter chroococcum
Lineage: Bacteria; Pseudomonadati; Pseudomonadota; Gammaproteobacteria; Pseudomonadales; Pseudomonadaceae
Source: RNAcentral
CGUUAUGGGCGGGCCGUGUGUGGGGAGCCUUUGUGCUCCGCCUGCCCUGAGACAGGUCCGCCAACCCGCACGGUUCCGCUCACCCAU